Molecule: ribosomal RNA, 554 nt
Filed under: uncultured Alphaproteobacteria bacterium
Lineage: Bacteria; Pseudomonadati; Pseudomonadota; Alphaproteobacteria
Description: bacterial SSU rRNA
Rfam family: Bacterial small subunit ribosomal RNA
Source: RNAcentral
UUGGGUUCGGAAUAACGUCGGGAAACUGACGCUAAUACCGGAUGAUGACGCAAGUCCAAAGAUUUAUCGCCCAGGGAUGAGCCCGCGUAGGAUUAGCUAGUUGGUGGGGUAAAGGCUCACCAAGGCUACGAUCCUUAGCUGGUCUGAGAGGAUGAUCAGCCACACUGGGACUGAGACACGGCCCAGACUCCUACGGGAGGCAGCAGUAGGGAAUAUUGGACAAUGGGGGCAACCCUGAUCCAGCAAUGCCGCGUGAGUGAUGAAGGCCUUAGGGUUGUAAAGCUCUUUUACCCGAGAUGAUAAUGACAGUAUCGGGAGAAUAAGCUCCGGCUAACUCCGUGCCAGCAGCCGCGGUAAUACGGAGGGAGCUAGCGUUGUUCGGAAUUACUGGGCGUAAAGCGCACGUAGGCGGCGAUUUAAGUCAGAGGUGAAAGCCCGGGGCUCAACCCCGGAACUGCCUUUGAGACUGGAUUGCUAGAAUCUUGGAGAGGCGGGUGGAAUUCCGAGUGUAGAGGUGAAAUUCGUAGAUAUUCGGAAGAACACCAGUGGCGAAG